RNAcentral lists this transfer RNA (73 nucleotides) under Stegodyphus mimosarum. It matches the Rfam family "tRNA". Rfam says of the family: Transfer RNA (tRNA) molecules are approximately 80 nucleotides in length. Their secondary structure includes four short double-helical elements and three loops (D, anti-codon, and T loops). Lineage: Eukaryota; Metazoa; Arthropoda; Arachnida; Araneae; Eresidae. The record is from Rfam by way of RNAcentral.
GCCUUCGUGGUGUAGUGGUCAGCAUUCUCGACGCGUAACCGAGAGGUCCGUGGUUCGAUUCCUCGAGAAGGCG